GUGAAAAACCGGCGGCCGGCUCGAUACCGUUCUGGGGAUAGUGAAAAGCCGCUGUUGACGACAUAACAGUCGUUUGCUACCAUUUUUUGUGAUUUUCUCAACUCGAUUACUCAACAACUUGCCUAGAACACUCCACAACCAUAACCAGAAAAAACUAUUAGUGAUUUCGAGAUGAGUAUUGUGAUAUUUAUUCUUCAAAAGAAAGGAAAGGAAAAGUAAACAACACAGAACAAGAACAAGAUGAAAGUCUCUCUAAAAAUCAAUGUGAGUUAAGAAAAUAAAGGAAGUGGAGGAAUAUUUAAACCAUUAUGAACGUCGACAUUUUGAUGAAACCACAUAAUUAAAUUGUAUAACCUAUACUCUAUUCAGAAUUAAAAUACAUUAGCAUAUCACUACUGAUCUAAGCCAAGCAUUCUGACGCUCAAAUCUUGUAUUUUUUUUUUGAAUAGAGCAUAAUAUUAUUUUGUAUGUAAAUUUGUUCUUAUUUUUAUAAUAUAUUUUAAUAUGCUUGUUUUAUUUUAAAUUAUUUAGGUUUACUUCAGUAUUUCUUAAUUGAUUUUAAGUUUAUACUAGUAAUUAAUAAUUUUUAUAAUUUAUGAUAUAAGUUGUUUAAAUGGUUUAUCUAUCAUGGUAUGAUUUAUAUACUUUUAGAAGGUUCAAAGGAUGGUAGAAUGUGAUAGUUACUAAGUUAUUCUCAAGAAAUAGCAUAAUUUCUUAUGUUUACUUUAGCACUUAAUGUAUAUCAGAUAAUCUAUAUUUAUAAACUAAGUUAAGUCUGAAAUUUAUGUAUGCAAUGUAUUCAUAUUUAAUGAAUAUUUAAAUACAUAAUAUUUCCAUUAUAUAUAAUAUGAUUGUGCUAUUUUGUAUCUAGUACUAGAAUAUUUGUGGAAUAAUUUUAAUACAGGGUGAUAUAAUAAAAAAUCUUUUUUUAUAAUAAUUAUUAUUGUUUCAAUAAAACAUAAUAGUUAUUUACUUAACAAAAUAUUACGAUUUUUUAUAAGUAUAGGUAGUCUUAUAUAAAUACACACAGUAGUCUUGGUAUACUUCGUAAUUGAAACUGCGGCAUGAUUGUCAGUAUUAAAAACAAAAAAUUAAAUUAAUUUGUUAAUGACAAAAAAAUAACUAAUUAAGGUUAUAAAUAAAUAUUUAAAUAUAUAAUAAUAUAAUAUAUAUAAUGUAUAUUUAAAUUGGAAUUUAUUAUACUAAUAUAUUUUUUUGCAGUAAUAAGUUAGUUUUAGAUAAUUUGUGUAACAUACAAUGGCUUGGUGAAUUGAAAAUACUAUAUUGGCAAGUAACAUAUAUCCCAAGCGUCCACCACCCUUCUACUAUACUCAAAUAGGGUUUUUUUUACCUAACCCUCCAAAACUUAAAAAUCUCAGAAGUAAUUGCCUCUGAAAUUACCCUUCACCAUGCUACUGGUAAUAUAGCUAAAUGAGAAAGUACAUUAAAAGAUAGAAUAUUUAUUUUGAUAUCCACACCAUACAACAAGUAAAAUGCAACUACUCGAAAAUCCAUUCAUAAUAUAUUGAUAUAAUUCUUCACAUAUCCGGAAAGUUAGAAAAAAAAUGUUUAAUAAUUAAAUGAAAUAUAUUUUACCUAACCCAAUUAAAUUAUAAAAUACUUAACAUAAAUACAUAAUCGACAUUAUUAUGUAGAUAUGUAAAAUCAUCAAAACUCAAUUUUCAUGUGGGUAAAAAACUGUAGAAAAAUUAGUUUUACAGUAUUUUGUAGUAAGCUUACAGUAAGAAAUUAUUUAAAAUAAUGACGUACUUUACACUUCAUGCCUUUUAAAACGCCCACAGUAGUAGUACAUUUCCUCAUCUAAUUUAUAAUUUCUUUUUUUCUCAGCUCGUGGAUAAAAAAGUUUAAUAAACUAAAUAAUUUUAUUUUUAUACAAUCUCUAAAUUUAUCGAGAAAAUAAGAACAUAAUAUAAAAUAUAGUUACUCCACUCAUAUAACGUCGUGGCUAGUCAGUCCCUUAGGAUCUUUCAUACGCUCCAUUUUCUCUCUUUGUAAUUAAUUAAACGAUACGAGGCAUAGUUAAAUGAAAAUGGAAAGAUACGAUUAGAUUAGUAUCAUGAACUAUGGUAGAACCACAGACUUAAUAAUAAUAGAAGAAUUCCCUUUCGUACACGUAGAACUGUCAUAGAUAGAGAGCGCCUUCGCGUGACUUCUGACUGCACGAUAAUUAAUACUGCAGUGUGUUUGACUGAUUACCACAACGACUGCUCUAUAGACAAAGUCUAAAGGUUAGGCGGUGGCGUAACUGCAAUUUUUUUACCGUGCGAGAUCCCACUUGGUUAUAUUGCUCGUUUCUAUUCCACUUUUAAUCAGUGGCAAGUUUAAAAUAAUAUACAUGAUUAGAAUUUGAAAUACCCUACGAAUAGUAAUAAGUUCCUACCAAAAUAAAUCCCUCUCAGUCACAGUAUGCAUCCACAGACUUCUAUACUAACUAGGUAAUUAACUCGUAUAUUAUUUAUAUAAUUUACAUUGAAGCUCGCGUAUCGGUUUCCCCCAUUUUGUCGGUUAGCAAAACAUUACAUUUACUAUGCAAAAUAUAGUAGGAAUAACAUCGUUUUUAAUGGUAAGAUAUUGAAGUAAAUGAAAAAUAAUUAAUAUAAAGUAUUUAUAACUGUUUUUUAAAAAAAGGUUUAGACCUCAUAAAAUACAGUACAACAUAGUUAAUAUUUACUAUAUAAAAUACCAUAUAACGCCAACCGAAAAACCUUAAUUGAUAGCGGAAAUCUGUUAUCUAGUUCUGUAUAGAAAUCUGUGCAUACAAUAAAAUCUCGACCGUCAAAGCUACGUUAAUUUUACGUAAGUUUCAGCCGCUAGAAAUGUUAUUAAAUAUUGAAGUGUUUUCGGCGAAGUUGUUAUGGUUGUCAAGUGUGUGAGCGUGCCGUGAACCAAAAAAGAUUGAGAACCACUGGGUUAAGCAAUAUGAAAACAGUUCGGCCCCCACAUAGUGAUUUACAAAGAAAAAAG
Molecule: RNA transcript, 2985 nt
Organism: Aphis gossypii (cotton aphid)
Lineage: Eukaryota; Metazoa; Arthropoda; Insecta; Hemiptera; Aphididae
Gene name: sentrin-specific protease 5-like
Exons: 3
Source: RefSeq, a predicted model, not a curated record